Molecule: ribosomal RNA, 292 nt
Filed under: uncultured bacterium
Lineage: Bacteria
Description: partial 16S ribosomal RNA
Rfam family: Bacterial small subunit ribosomal RNA
Source: RNAcentral
GUGCCAGCCGCCGCGGUAAUACGUAGGGUGCGGGCGUUAAUCGGAAUUACUGGGCGUAAAGCGUGCGCAGGCGGCUCCUUAAGUCAGAUGUGAAAUCCCCGGGCUUAACCUGGGAACUGCGUUUGAUACUGAGGGGCUUGAGUGUGGAAGAGGGGGGUGGAAUUCCAGGUGUAGCAGUGAAAUGCGUAGAGAUCUGGAGGAACACCGAUGGCGAAGGCAGCCCCCUGGGCUAACACUGACGCUCAUGCACGAAAGCGUGGGGAGCAAACAGGAUUAGAUACCCUUGUAGUCC